GUGCACCAGGCGAGAAUUUUUCUCAAUGGGCGAAAGCCUGAAGGAGCGACGCCGCGUGGGGGAUGAAUGGCUUCGGCCCGUAAACCCCUGUCAUUUGUGAACAAAUUGCUUCACCUAACACGUGAAGCAUUGAUUGUAACGGAAGAGGAAGGGACGGCUAACUCUGUGCCAGCAGCCGCGGUAAUACAGAGGUCCCAAGCGUUGUUCGGAUUCACUGGGCGUAAAGGGUGCGUAGGCGGUUUGAUAAGUCUGAUGUGAAAUCCCGCAGCUUAACUGCGGAACUGCAUUGGAAACUAUUUGACUAGAGGAAUGGAGGGGAGACUGGAAUACUUGGUGUAGCAGUGAAAUGCGUAGAUAUCAAGUGGAACACCAGUGGCGAAGGCGAGUCUCUGGACAUUUCCUGACGCUGAGGCACGAAAGCCAGGGGAGCAAACGGGAUUAGAUACCCCUGUAGU
RNAcentral lists this ribosomal RNA (455 nucleotides) under uncultured organism. RNAcentral's name for it is "bacterial SSU rRNA". It matches the Rfam family "Bacterial small subunit ribosomal RNA", at positions 346 to 794 of the family's 1533-position model. The record is from RNAcentral.